UUAGCUCUCUUUGCCUUUUGGCUUAGAUCAAGUGUAGUAUCUGUUCUUUUAAGUUUAAUCGCUUAAAUUCCUCCACGGAGGUUUUUCGAUUACUCCAAUUUUUGACAACGGUUCGAGGGUCACUGGGCUUGCUCAUACCCUAGGACACAGUGUCCCCUGUAUUGCACCAUCUCAGGGCGACGCGACUCAUU
RNAcentral lists this small nuclear RNA (191 nucleotides) under Pyrenophora tritici-repentis Pt-1C-BFP. RNAcentral's name for it is "U2 spliceosomal RNA". It matches the Rfam family "U2 spliceosomal RNA". Rfam says of the family: U2 is a small nuclear RNA (snRNA) component of the spliceosome (involved in pre-mRNA splicing). Lineage: Eukaryota; Fungi; Ascomycota; Dothideomycetes; Pleosporales; Pleosporaceae. The record is from Rfam by way of RNAcentral.